AGCAUCUCAAUGCAGCCCUCGAAUGACUGUGGGCCAUGACUGCAAUGUCUUCCUAGAAAGGGCAUCUUUAACUGGAACGCUUCUUAGUUCAGGUGCAGUGAUUGUCUCCAGGACUUGAACCCACUAAGACUUAAGGUCUGUUUCAAGCAUUCUGAGUAUGGUGCCAUGAGAGAUGCUGUUGUCCAUGAGAGGCUGGGAUUAUUAUGAUCAAGUGCUGUAUUUUGACUUCACCCUGGCUAAAAGAUUUGUGGAGUAAAGAGGAAGUGUUGGACUUUUAAGAGUUAAACAGGUAAGUCUACUGAAAUGGGUUUUUUUGGGUUUUUUUAAUCAACAGUUUUCAGGCUUUUUUCAAUUGCAAGUUCUAUCUCACUGCUCCCUCAAUUCAAAAAA
Molecule: long non-coding RNA, 390 nt
Filed under: Cyanistes caeruleus (blue tit)
Lineage: Eukaryota; Metazoa; Chordata; Aves; Passeriformes; Paridae
Description: lncRNA (ENSCCEG00000014471.1)
Source: RNAcentral